RNAcentral lists this transfer RNA (58 nucleotides) under Salmo salar (Atlantic salmon). It matches the Rfam family "tRNA", at positions 8 to 63 of the family's 71-position model. Rfam says of the family: Transfer RNA (tRNA) molecules are approximately 80 nucleotides in length. Their secondary structure includes four short double-helical elements and three loops (D, anti-codon, and T loops). Lineage: Eukaryota; Metazoa; Chordata; Actinopteri; Salmoniformes; Salmonidae. The record is from Rfam by way of RNAcentral.
UGGUCCCGUUGGUAGAACAUGGUGUUUGCAACGCCAGGGUUGUGGGUUCGAUUCCCAC